AUUUUUAGUAUAAUAAGUACAAAUGAUUUCCAAUUAUUAAGUUCAUAAAUGAAAAAGAAUA
This 61-nucleotide transfer RNA is filed under the name Mecistocephalus marmoratus. RNAcentral's name for it is "tRNA-Gly". Lineage: Eukaryota; Metazoa; Arthropoda; Chilopoda; Geophilomorpha; Mecistocephalidae. The record is from RNAcentral.